This is a non-coding RNA of Mus musculus (house mouse), 121 nucleotides long. The record is from Rfam. Lineage: Eukaryota; Metazoa; Chordata; Mammalia; Rodentia; Muridae.
AUUCAUAGCCAAAGUAAUAAUAUUUGUAAAGAAAUAACCUCAUGGAAGACCUUAUUCUUGCAUAUUAGCAAGGCUGUCACCAUCUAACUGGUAUCAGAUACUGAUUUGCAAAAGAACAGUC